GGACUACCAGGGUAUCUAAUCCGGUUCGCUCCCCACGCUUUCGCGCCUCAGCGUCAGGUCACCCCCAGCCGGCCGCCUUCGCCACUGGUGUUCCUCCCGAUCUCUACGCAUUUCACCACUACACCGGGAAUUCCACCGGCCUCUGAGUGCCUCUAGUCCGGCCGUCUCCUCCGCACCCUCCCAGUUGAGCCGGGAGAUUUCACACAGGACUGACCGCACCACCUGCGCGCGCUUUACGCCCAAUAAAUCCGGACAACGCUCGCCACCUACGUAUUACCGCGGCUGCUGGCAC
This 292-nucleotide ribosomal RNA is filed under the name uncultured bacterium. RNAcentral's name for it is "partial 16S ribosomal RNA". The record is from RNAcentral.